AAUUUUAAAGCAAGUAAUUUCACUGUGACUCCCCUAGGUUAUGAGCAGCCCAAGAGGAGGAACAAUGGUAGCUCCAGAAGUUCUAACAGGAAGAGGAAAGGGUCAGAGAUUUUAUUAAGAAAAGAAUUUUGGAGGAGUAAUCAGCGGAUUUGACUUGAAACAAUAGCUGCAGAAUAUGUUUAAUUUUGAAGAUCUACACUUUUAUUUCAGAGAAGUAUGGAGGGGCACAAUGAGUAAAUACAAAUGUUUGGUCCACUAUCUUGGAUCAGAAGGCUAGCCGAACAUCUUGGAUUCCACUGAGCUAAUUGACAUUGUAUAAUAAUGAAAAAAAUAAACAAAUUUCUCAAGACUCAAAAUAUCUAAGAAUGUAGGUCAAGAACAUUUAAGAGGGGGAAGAUGGGUGUAAAUAUCUGAGAACAUUCUGGGGAAAGGAGUUACAGUGAUGAACAAAGAAGACAUAUUUGAGAAGUGAAGAAUACAGACAACCUCCCUCACACCAAAACACCGGAAGACUUGAGUGAGCAGAUCAAUGCCACAGGCAAAUGACUCAGUGAAAAUCUUGAAUGUUUGCUAAGAUCUCCUGCAGCAUCCCAGGUCAAAGAGGCUGACUCAGAGGGCCCUACUCCCACUGCUGUCCCUGACACACAUUGGAGAGGCCUUGAGACAUGCUGCCUCUGAAGUCGGUAUCAUGUGACUCACAACCUAGA
This 707-nucleotide long non-coding RNA is filed under the name Homo sapiens (human). RNAcentral describes it as "HSALNT0352767". The record is from RNAcentral. Lineage: Eukaryota; Metazoa; Chordata; Mammalia; Primates; Hominidae.